RNAcentral lists this ribosomal RNA (363 nucleotides) under Triticum aestivum (bread wheat). RNAcentral describes it as "partial small subunit ribosomal RNA". Lineage: Eukaryota; Viridiplantae; Streptophyta; Magnoliopsida; Poales; Poaceae. The record is from RNAcentral.
UUGUGUCUACCCAACUACUCAUGUGUUAUGUGUGGCAUGCAGAAUCUUGAAACCAGGGAUAACCUCUUUUUCCACUGCUCGUUUGCUAAGCUCUGUUGUACUUAUCUCAUUCGAAGUUGGUCUCCGACUUUCACUGGAAUUCAGGAUGAAAUUGCUCACUUAAAGACUUUACUAGGGGUUCCUUUCAGCCUAGAAACUGUAAUUCUUGCCUCUUGGGCUAUUUGGCUUACCCGGAAUUGUGUCAUCUUCAAUGGCAGCAUUACCCCUAGUCUUUCCAGAUGUCGACAACGUUUCAAGGAGGAGAUCAAAUGGCUUAAAUACCGAGCAGCUACAAGGAAGGACUAUCCAACCUUCGAAGCCUAG